AAGAAAAAGAGGAGCUGGUAUCAGGCUCAAUAUGCCCAUAACACCUAGCCCCGCCACACCCCCAAGGGUAUUCAGCAGUGAUUAACAUUGUAAACUAGCGAAAGCUAAAUUCAGUUACUAGCUAAAAAAACCGGUCAAUCUCGUGCCAGCCACCGCGGUUAUACGGGCAGGUUUAAAUUGAUAACAUCGGCACAAAGCGUGGUUAGAUUCUCACUUUAAUAAAGCAAAAAUUAAGCCUGGCUGUGAUAUGCUUUCGCUUUUAAUAACCUCAAUCACGAAAGUAGCUUUAACUCCUAUUGAACCCACGAUCGCUAGGGCACAAACUGGGAUUAGAUACCCCACUAUGCCUAGCCCUAAACUUUGAUUUCUCCGCCCGGGAACUACGAGCGUCAGCUUAAAACCCAAAAGACUUGGCGGUGCCCUAUACCACCUAGAGGAGCCUGUUCUAUAAUCGAUAAUCCCCGAUUCACCUCACCAUCUCUUGCCAAUACCGCCUGUAUACCUCCGUCGCCAACUGACCCCUCAAGGGCAAUAGUCGGUUAAAUGGCUUUCCCCCAGUAAGUCAGGUCAAGGUGCAGCGAAUGAGAUGGGAAGAAAUGGGCUACAUUUUCUACUAAUAGACUAUACGAAAGAUCACUAUGAAAUCUGAUUGGAAGGUGGAUUUAGCAGUAAAAAGAGACAAGAGCGCUCUUUUUAAGUUGGCUCUAGGGCGCGCACACACCGCCCGUC
This 729-nucleotide ribosomal RNA is filed under the name Megophrys sp. 27 ZL-2018. RNAcentral describes it as "partial 12S rRNA'". It matches the Rfam family "Bacterial small subunit ribosomal RNA", at positions 270 to 1398 of the family's 1533-position model. The record is from RNAcentral. Lineage: Eukaryota; Metazoa; Chordata; Amphibia; Anura; Megophryidae.